CAUGAUGGAUAAAGAUGCUAAGACUACAAGGUUGAAAUAUCCAGAAGAUGAAACAAAAGCAUCAUGUAGUUCUGAUUCUACUUCUGUAAAAGAUUAUAAUAGAUACCCGACUGUAGUAAGUGAAAACAGUACCUACAGAUCGAAAAUGUUCGUAAGACAUAAUUUAGCCAAUAUGUGUAAUAAUCUUGAUUCAAAUAAAUAUAUUAAUAAUAUGAACACUAUUACUAGUAAUGGUGAUACAGACAGUAGUUCUAAUUGCACUUUAAAAGUUAAUAAGAGUAAUAACGCAAAGUUACAUUCAUUAAAAAGCAACAAUUGUAUGAAACAUGAAGAUAAAAGCAUACCAGAUGUAUGUGUAAAUACUAGUAAUGGUAGUAGUGACACUGGUGAUGACAUUAGUAAUAACACUAUAAGUGACAAAAAUAAUAAUAAAGAUAGUAUUGGGUCAAUGCAAACCUAUAGUAGUAAGCAUAAUGUAAUGAAUAUAUACAGUGGUAUGUUACAAAACAAAUAUAAUAUUUACGAUAGUAUGAAGGGUUGUGUUAUUAUAGAUAAGAAUGACUCAUCUAAUAUUGUAAGUAACAACACGAGUACUACUAAAUGUAACAAUAACAACACGGAUAUUAGUGUUAGCAGUAAUAGUAGUAGUAGUUGUAGUUGUAGUAGUUGUAGUAGUAGUUGUAGUAGUAGUAGUAAUAGUGGUAAAACUAAGAACUCAGAAAAAAAACCGUAUGAAGACAAAUGGUUUAACGUUUUCAGUAAAUUUAAAAAUAGUAUAAAAGAAAAUGUAAUAGGAAAAAAAAUAUGGCGAUAUCAAAAAUCUAAAUCAAAUACGAGUAAUGAAGAGAAUUCAAACAAGCGUGAACGUACAGGAAGUAAUAAGAAAUCGAAAAUUUCAAUGAAUGGUAACCAUAAUAGUAAUAGUAACACCAAUAUAACUGAUAUAAAUAAAAGUAAUAUAAAGAGAGGUGGAGAUGGUAAUGUCAAUAAUGAAAAUACUACAAAUAAUAGUUACGUCGGUGAUAGUAGUAAUAGUAAUAAUAGUAGUAGUAAAAGUAGUAAAAAUAGUAGUAGUAGUAGUAGUAGUAGUAGUAGUAGUAAUAAUAAUAAUAAUAAUAAUGAUAUAACGGGUGAAUCGAAAGAAGAAGGUGUUGUUACUGCAAUGGAUCCAUGUACAACUAAGAACACAACAUCAACAGAACAUGCAUGUAAUAAAUAUGAUGAUAAUAAUAAUUUAAUAAAUGGAAACGAUUCAAAAGUGGCAGACCACAUUAGUAAUGUAUUGUGCAAUGGUUCUAAUUGUAAUAACAAGAAUGAAGACAUGUUUAGUUUUAAAAACUUGCAAAAGGUUUAUCCUUACAAAUCACACCCUGGACUACAAUUUCCAAACGAAUAUACUAAUUGCACUAAUAAACAGAAUAUAAAUGAUUAUAAUGAUAAGAACAACUGUUUAAAAAAGUAUAGUGAAAAAAACAAUGAUAGCUUAAAUGUAAAGGUUUAUACAAGUAGUAAUGAUUUUGAUAUGUGUAAUGACGGUAUAGAACGAAAAUUCAUUAAAGCUAAAGCUAUUACUAAUAAACCUGUUUUGAAUGACACCACGAAUUCGACUGACGUAUGUAAUCUUACUAUACUUUCAAAAAAUGAUAAAAAAGUUUAUGAGGAUAAUGUUCAUAACACCAUUGAACAAAAUAGUACAAACGAUGAUGUAGGUAUUAAUAUUA
Long non-coding RNA from Piliocolobus tephrosceles (Ugandan red Colobus), 1721 nucleotides. The record is from Ensembl. Lineage: Eukaryota; Metazoa; Chordata; Mammalia; Primates; Cercopithecidae.